AUUGUGCAGAAAAUGUUCAUGUGGCAAGGAACUUAGGUGGCUUCUAGGGACUUCAGGAGGCCUCCAGUUGCUAAGGAGGGGGAUUGUAGCUGACAAGCAGAAAGAAGGCUAAGAUUGCAGACUCACAACCAGGAAAUGAAUUCUGCAAGCAACAUGAAUGAACUUGGAACAGGACAUCAGAAAAGCGAGAACUCUUCAGAGGAGUAGCUCCAGAAGUCUGCAUUGAGAUUCACUAGGAGUACGUGAUCCAGAUGAGAUUGCCCAUGUACAAGUACCGCCUUAUGUUUCUUUGGAAUGAAAAAUUCAACCUUUCCCUGCUGUCAGUCAUGUGGUCCCAGCUCCAAGAGCCCCCUAAUUGGAAUAAACCAAUAAGAGGUUGUCUUAAAAUGGACCGGUAACCAACCAGAGCCAAUGAGAUGUGUUGACCCAAGGACUUGAAUUAAUGAAUAUGGUUCUACAUACUACUAUCCUGCCCAGUUAACUUCACAUUGUUGGUGACAGAAAGCACAGAAGACAAGAAGCAAAACCUUCAAGACUGUCAUGCCCAUGGAUAUUAAACAGACCUCUUUUCCCCCACCUUCAUUACUAUUAAUUUUUUCCCUUUAACUCACAAAUAAAUUCU
Long non-coding RNA from Callithrix jacchus (white-tufted-ear marmoset), 622 nucleotides. RefSeq lists it as uncharacterized. The record is from RefSeq and is a predicted model, not a curated record. NCBI's taxonomy places the organism in Eukaryota, Metazoa, Chordata, Mammalia, Primates, Cebidae.